AUGUUUUUCUCUUAUUCCUCUGGCACUAAAAAUCACUCGAUAUCUUAUCCAGUUGUUAGGGCUGUGUCUGAAAAGCUUGGCGGACCUGUUGACAUUCUUCAUCUUGACGCACAUCCAGAUAUCUAUGACUGUUUUGAAGGGAACACUUACUCACAUGCUUCUUCAUUCGCAAGAAUAAUGGAGGGAGGUUAUGCGAGGCGACUUUUGCAGGUUGGACUUAGAUCAAUUACCAAAGAAGGACGUGAGCAAGGGAAGAGAUUUGGUGUGGAACAGUAUGAGAUGCGAACCUUCUCCAGGGAUCGGGAGAAGCUUGAGAAUCUGAAACUUGGGGAAGGUGUGAAGGGGGUGUAUGUCGACGUCGACGUGGACUGCCUCGACCCCGCAUUCGCUCCUGGUGUCUCUCACAUCGAGCCGGGAGGCCUCUUGUUUCGCGACGUGCUCAACAUCCUUCAGAAUCUGCAAGGCGAUGUCGUCGCCGGAGAUGUGGUGGAGUUCAACCCGCAGCGUGACACGGUCGACGGCAUGACGGCUAUGGUCGCCGCAAAGCUGGUCCGGGAGCUGAGCGCCAAGAUCUCAAAAUGA
Molecule: ribosomal RNA, 582 nt
Filed under: Triticum aestivum (bread wheat)
Lineage: Eukaryota; Viridiplantae; Streptophyta; Magnoliopsida; Poales; Poaceae
Description: partial small subunit ribosomal RNA
Source: RNAcentral